GACUGUGGUCGAAAUUGCUGAUCGAACGAAUUUUCAUUUGGAAUUAUCAGAGAUCGUGCAUACAUGAACGUAAAUGAUCGUAUGUAAAUUUGUGCAAAUUAGAAUGAAAUAAAAAAGAAACGAGUUUAUAAAACCGUGGUAAAAAUGAGUAUAACGGAGUUCUGGUUCACCGAUUCGUCAAAGGAUGAGAGCUUGGUAAACUCGCCAGGAAUAAAAAAUACAUUGA
Long non-coding RNA from Rhagoletis zephyria (snowberry fruit fly), 226 nucleotides. RefSeq lists it as uncharacterized. The record is from RefSeq and is a predicted model, not a curated record. Lineage: Eukaryota; Metazoa; Arthropoda; Insecta; Diptera; Tephritidae.